GAUGAAGAACGUAGCGAAAUGCGAUAAUUAAUGUGAAUUGCAGAAUUCUGUGAAUCAUCGAGUCUUUGAACGCACAUUGCGCCUCAUGGCAUUCCGUGAGGCAUGCCCAUCUCAGCGUUAGAAAAUAUUCUCAAAUUUUAGUUUGUGCUAAAAUUUGGAUCAUGUCAAAGAAGCUAUUACUAUUAUUGUGAUCGCUCUUUGGAAAUUGAUAGGUCUUUGAGUUGUUACUCAUAGAACGUGAUGAAUCUUUCUUCGUUCUAUUGUAAUUCACUCUGGUAGUCCUAAAACUUGUAUGCCUGUGGCAUAUCUUGUAAUUUGACCUGAGAUUGGGUAGGGAUACCCGCUGAACUUAAGCAUAUCAAUAAGCGGAGGA
Molecule: unclassified non-coding RNA, 373 nt
Filed under: soil metagenome
Description: partial contains internal transcribed spacer 2 and large subunit ribosomal RNA
Rfam family: 5.8S ribosomal RNA (bases 1-120)
Source: RNAcentral